CCUACGGGGGUCAGCAGUGGGGAAUAUUGGACAAUGGGCGAAAGCCUGAUCCAGCCAUGCCGCGUGUGUGAAGAAGGCCUUCGGGUUGUAAAGCACUUUCAGUGGGGAAGAAAGCCUUGGGGCUAAUACCCUCGAGGAAGGACAUCACCCACAGAAGAAGCACCGGCUAACUCCGUGCCAGCAGCCGCGGUAAUACGGAGGGUGCGAGCGUUAAUCGGAAUUACUGGGCGUAAAGCGCGCGUAGGCGGUCUGAUAAGCCGGUUGUGAAAGCCCCGGGCUCAACCUGGGAACGGCAUCCGGAACUGUCAGGCUAGAGUGCAGGAGAGGAAGGUAGAAUUCCCGGUGUAGCGGUGAAAUGCGUAGAGAUCGGGAGGAAUACCAGUGGCGAAGGCGGCCUUCUGGACUGACACUGACGCUGAGGUGCGAAAGCGUGGGUAGCAAACAGGAUUAGAUACCCGAGUAGUC
RNAcentral lists this ribosomal RNA (465 nucleotides) under Vreelandella stevensii. RNAcentral describes it as "partial 16S ribosomal RNA". It matches the Rfam family "Bacterial small subunit ribosomal RNA", at positions 338 to 795 of the family's 1533-position model. Lineage: Bacteria; Pseudomonadati; Pseudomonadota; Gammaproteobacteria; Oceanospirillales; Halomonadaceae. The record is from RNAcentral.